UCCGCCUUCCACGUCCCUCAUCCCCACCAGGUUUGUCGUUACCACUUGGGGUUUUCCUGGUUUCACUUGAGUGAUUUCCCGAAGCGGAUUCUCCAUUUGGCUGGUGGACGUCGUUCCAGUUCUGAUGGAUCUUCUGGCUGGUUGUCAGGUCACCGCCAGCUCUUCAAGGACCGUGGAGCUCUACUGGCUGAAUGCUUUGCUGUCUGACCCUGAGCCAAGUUCUUAAUCGUCUUUGUGCCCUGGUUUGUCAUCUGUAAAUGGGGAUCGUCGCUGGACCUACCGGAAAGGGAAGCUUGAGGCUUAUAUGAGGUCGUUCAUGGAAGGUGCUUGGCGUGGAGGCAGGCGUAUGAAAAAGCUCAGUGUAUGUUGGUUACGACUGUAUUCCAUGACGUCCAUUAGAGUGUCGUUUGUAACAGAAUACAACCCGGAAGCCUAAAUAUCUAACCACAGGGGAUCGUCUCCAGAAGUAGCACCACAUCUUUAGAGUAAAUUAUUGCACAUAUCUGAAAAGCCUGUUUCUAAAGAAUGUUUCCUAAUGCAAGUAAAAGCUCACGGAAUGAGAUUAGGUUUAAAAAAAAAAAAGGUGGGAUAAAAACCAAAUCAAAUGUGAUGCUACUUUUGUUACACACGUAGAGGCUGAUGCUUC
Molecule: long non-coding RNA, 646 nt
Organism: Prionailurus viverrinus (fishing cat)
Lineage: Eukaryota; Metazoa; Chordata; Mammalia; Carnivora; Felidae
Exons: 3
Source: RefSeq, a predicted model, not a curated record